AAGCAAACAAACCUCUGGCUGGAAGGGGACUAUUUUCGUCAGAAGUUAAAGGGGCAGGAGAAUGGACAACACAGAGCAGCCUUCUCCAAACUUCUCUCUGGCGUUGAUGACAUUUCCAUAAAUGGGGUCGAGAAUCAAGAUCAGCAAGAACCCGAACCGUACAGUGAUGAUGACGAAAUCAAUGGAGUGACACAAGGUGAUAGACUUCGGGCCUUGAAAAGCAGAAGACAAUCCAAAACGAACGCUAUUCCUCUCACUCUCUCCAUUUCAAGGACUAAAACAGUCUUGCGUUAAGUAAAAACCUGUGACCAGAGCUGAAGGAAGACUCUAGGACUGAAAACUGCAACAGAAAUUAGCACAAUUUGAAAACAAAACAAAAUUGCAAAAGCCUUAGUUGCUUUUUCCACCUAAGAAGUUAAUCAAUGGAGAAAAUGUCCACUGGAGUUUGAAUAAUGAACUUUGAGUUUGGGUGCAAGCAAAUGACUCAGAGAAGGGUCCAGCUCUCAAGCUGAAUGACAAACAUGCUGUUGUAAAUUUAGUCUCAGGUGUAAAUACCCAAGCCCUCUGGUACCCAGGGAGCUGGCUGGUCUGUGGUGCAUGUGUGUCCCUGUGAUGGCAAUCAUUGUAGUUGCUGGCCUUCAGAAGAAUUGAGGAUCUGAUGGAGGUUUUUUAUGUAUUUAUUUUCUGUUCACCUUGUGACCCUGUGUCAAAAUUUAUAAAGAUACAAAAGGCAUUACUGAAAUGGUACUUUCUGUAAUUUGAUACUAUUUGGCUUAAUCAUCUUCACUUGACUAUUUGUAAUACUGUUGUAAUGUUAACUCUGUUAAGUACCCAAGCUGCUUGUCUUCCACCAAAGAGUGCUUUAUUAACAAGAAUCUGUGAAAAUCACAUUUAAACACUGUUGCAUGUUGUAAGACCAGGUGGUACCUUAGUAACCUAAAACUUGCAAGAGAAUAUUAAUGGUAGCUUUAGAAGACUCAGGAGGAGAAACUGACUUCAGAGUUGGAAGAUGUUGCAAGUCGUUCCUUUUUCUGUCCUUCAGGGACUGAAGAACUGGGAGGCUGCCCAUUGUUUGGUUGCCAGUCAUACAAAUUAAAAUCAUAUUUCCUUCCGUGAAUGGAAGAAACACACUAUUGGUUUUUCCCCUUGGAAACAGCAAUCCCAAAUAAUGUCGGCUUACAAAAAAAGAAGUUACCACUUUUUGAGAGUCCUUCCCUGUAACAUUGGAUUUUUUUUUUCCCUUAUGAGAUCCACCUAAGGCCAUUGACGUGGCCUGCGAUCUCAGUGACAAUGAUCUGCUUCUGGAUCUCACUGUUGCCUUUGGUUAGGGAACACAACUAGUAACUCUGCAGAGUGCCUUCUCCCGCAGCCCUACUGGAACACAGCAGAGUCUGUGCCAUGAAGCAAUUACAGAAACAGAAUUGAUGUGCUGCUAAAAAAAAAAAAAAAUGGGGCCCAAAAUAAAAGAAUAUAUAGUACUCACCUCAGUUCCUUCCAUAAGAAGUGGGUGGUUUAAUGAUUGUUAAGCCAUUUUUGCCUGUGCCGGGAGCAUGGAGGGCUGAGAUGUCGACAGGCAGUGGGAAACAAAUGCCCUCCUAAGCCACAAGGCGUGCGCCAGAUCAGUAGGCAACUCCAUUUUAAGAAGCUGCCUUUUUCACAAAACUGGAAGAAAUAAAAGCGGUUGGAAUAAACAAGUUAAAAGUCUUUAAUGCAAAAAGUAAUUGAAAG
RNAcentral lists this long non-coding RNA (1728 nucleotides) under Pan troglodytes (chimpanzee). RNAcentral's name for it is "long non-coding RNA NONPTRT017886". The record is from RNAcentral. Lineage: Eukaryota; Metazoa; Chordata; Mammalia; Primates; Hominidae.